RNAcentral lists this long non-coding RNA (1979 nucleotides) under Homo sapiens (human). RNAcentral describes it as "HSALNT0389253". The record is from RNAcentral. Lineage: Eukaryota; Metazoa; Chordata; Mammalia; Primates; Hominidae.
AGGAGCGCGCAAGGCUUGCUACGGGCAGAGUUGUCCCGGUGGCCCGGAGUUCCAGCCUCUGUCCAGCAUGGCCUCACUGAGUUCGCGGAGCUUCUAAUGCCACGCGGGCGUCAGGUGCAUUCAUUUCACCCCGGAGAUCUGAAGAAGAAGAGUUUAUCUGCAUUCCCCUUCCUUCCUGCUUCCCACCUCCAAAGCCCGCCACUGAUCCUGCGAAUAAGUUUGCCCUGAAGUGUGGAAUAUCCCAUUCCUGCACAACUCGGUUCUACACCCCCUCCCCCGUGGGAUUCAGAGGUACACUGGGCAGCGCAAUCAGUAUGCAGUUGAGUUUUUGAGAUUCUAAUAGUUGAUACUAAUUCUUGGAACGACAGUAAGACUUGGAAAUACAGAUCUAAGCCACCCUAUAUAUUGGUGAUGUAGAAAAGAGAUAACUUCUUGAAAAGUGUCUGUGGGUUUAGUAGGUUGAGUAAUGAGAAGUUUUGGAACAAGAGCAGCAAACAAACUAAAGACUCCUAUGCAAAGAAGAAGUAGAGUUUUUAUUCUUUUAUCUCAAAACUUUUUUUUUUUUUUUUAGGGAAAACUCCCUCAGUACUUAUUCAAGAACCUAAAAGUGUAAGGCCGGGCGCGGUGGCUCACGCCUGUAAUCCCAGCACUUUGGGAGGCCGAGGCGGGCGGAUCACGAGGUCAGGAGAUCGAGAGCAUCCUGGCUAACACGGUGAAACCCCGUCUCUAUUAAAAGAUAGAAAAAAAUUAGCCGGGCGUGGUGGUGGGCGCCUGUAGUCCCAGCUAGCUACUCGGGAGGCUGAGGCAGGAGAAUGGCGUGAACCCGGGAGGCGGAGGUUGCAGUGAGCCGAGAUUGCGCCACUGCACUCCAGCCUGGGCGACAGAAUGAGACUCGUCUCAAAAAAAAAAAAAAAAAAGAGAGAACCUAAAAGUGUACACAAAGUGUAGUCAUAAAAAAUCUUGGUUCUUUAACCAACAAAACGACUGAAAUAAAUAAACCUGUUAUAUGAGUUUCAUGAAUAAAAAUUAACUCUGGGCCGGGCCCGGUGGCUCACGCCUGUAAUUAUAGCACUUUGGGAGGCUGAGACGGGCGGAUCACCUGAGGUCAGGAGUUCGAGACCAGGCUGGCCAUAGUAGAUCUGUGCUCCAAGGAAGGAGCAUGUUGAUCAGACCUAAGCAAUCCGUGUAUACAGUGUAUGUAUGACCUUCCUCUAGUCUGGCUCAGGGAUGGGCACAUGAUCCAAUUAGAGCCAAUGGGUACAAUAAGAUUUUCUCUGGCUUUUUGGGAAAGAAACUUUCUUAUUUUCUCCCAAAAAUGUAAUAUAUAUAUUGAACUCCCAAAAUGGAAUCCAGUGGUGUGAUCCUGGCUCACUGCAACCUCUGCCUCCCAGGAUCAAAUGAUUCUGCUACCUCAGUCUCCCAAGUAACCGGAACUACAGGCAUAUGCCACCGUGCUGGCUAAGUUUUGUAUUUUUUGUAGAGAUGGGUUUCGCCAUGUUGCCCAGGCUGGUCUUGAACUCCUGGCCUCAAAGGAUCCACCUGCUUCGGCCUCCCAAAGUACUAAGAUUACAGAUGUGAGCCACCGUGCCCAGCCUAUGAUUUUUCAAUGAGCAAUAAUCACACCUCGGAUAAAUCUCAUUGGCUACAAUACUGCCACUGCACAAAGUUUCUGAAAUUUGAUGAUGAUGAUAACAAAAAUAGUGAAAUAGUUAACACGUAUUGAGUGCUGAUUAUAUGCCAGAGAGAGUUCUAAACACUCUACUUAUUUACUCCUCACAAUAACCAUAUUGGGUGGGUAUAAUUAUUAUUCCCUUUUAGAAAUGGUGGAACUGGGCCUGGCACGGUGGCUCAUGCCUGUAAUCCCAGCACUUUGGGAGGCUGAGGUGGGCAGAUUACCUGAGGUCAGGAGUUCGAGACCAGCCUGGCCAACAUCGUGAAAAAAAUUAGCCGGGCAUGGUGGUACACGCCUGUAAUCCCAG